UAUGACGCCCCUUUUUCUUCUUCCUGCAUUGCAUUCUUCUUCACCAAUUUCAUGACGAUUAAACCUCUCCGACUAGAUAAUCAAGAUAAUAAAAGAACAGAGCCAUCAAUAAGCUAUUGGAACCUCAGAGGUUAACUAUGAGACAGUAGCAGGAAAUAACGAAUGGUGGGUUCUGGUUGGGGAAAAUUAGAGAGUUGUACGAAGGUGAGGCUGUAUGUUCACAGGCAAACAUAUAUCGUGAAAGAGUUAUAAAUGAAGCACAUCACUUUGUCGGCAACAAAAAGAAGAUAUAUAUGUGAAAAUUCUAGUUGUUUGUUUCUUUUGUUUUGUUUGGUGUUAAGCUUUUGGUUAGCAUUCAAGUGUUUGGGUGAAAAUGUUUAGAACAUGAAUCGAAUUGAUGGUUGAUGUUUUUUCGGUUGUUUGUCAUAUUAUAAAAAAAUAAAUUUUUGAUGGUUCAAUUAU
RNAcentral lists this long non-coding RNA (462 nucleotides) under Helianthus annuus (common sunflower). RNAcentral describes it as "hypothetical non coding rna". Lineage: Eukaryota; Viridiplantae; Streptophyta; Magnoliopsida; Asterales; Asteraceae. The record is from RNAcentral.